AAUAUUGCACAAUGGGCGCAAGCCUGAUGCAGCCAUGCCGCGUGUAUGAAGAAGGCCUUCGGGUUGUAAAGUACUUUCAGCAGUGAGGAAGGUGGGUAUGUUAAUAGCAUACUCAUUUGACGUUAGCUGCAGAAGAAGCACCGGCUAACUCCGUGCCAGCAGCCGCGGUAAUACGGAGGGUGCGAGCGUUAAUCGGAAUUACUGGGCGUAAAGCGCAUGCAGGUGGUUUGUUAAGUCAGAUGUGAAAGCCCGGGGCUCAACCUCGGAAUUGCAUUUGAAACUGGCAAACUAGAGUACUGUAGAGGGGGUAGAAUUUCAGGUGUAGCGGUGAAAUGCGUAGAGAUCUGAAGGAAUACCGGUGGCGAAGGCGGCCCCCUGGACAGAUACUGACACUCAGAUGCGAAAGCGUGGGGAGCAAACAGGAUUAGAUACCAUGGGUAG
RNAcentral lists this ribosomal RNA (441 nucleotides) under uncultured bacterium. RNAcentral's name for it is "bacterial SSU rRNA". It matches the Rfam family "Bacterial small subunit ribosomal RNA", at positions 360 to 793 of the family's 1533-position model. The record is from RNAcentral.